GGGGUUAACAUGCUUUUGUUUCCAAGUAUAUUGUCGGAUAGUUUCCAGUUGCCCUUACUUGAAACAGUUUGACCAUCAUUUUAGGACAGAUAAUGGGAGCCCGUGAAAUGCAGUUCCUGUUUGUGCAGUCUCAGGUACUCGGUGGACCACCAAAAAGCAGAUGCAAUUGUGAUUUUGGGAUAUUUUUACGGCCAUGUUACACUUUCCUUUUCUCCAGCAUUUUCAUGGGUAUUUACAUAUUUCCAACACUAUCAUUUUUGAAUUGCCAUCUGCUAGUAUCCAACCUGUUUUGAUAAAAUUAGAUCCAAAACUUUUGUGACCCACAAAAAAAAAGUUUAUAAUGGCCUUCCACCACUGUUUUGUAUGUUGUGGUCCACCUGAAAUUUGUAUAUAGUUCAUCUUUUGGCCCAUGCCAUAAAAUUUGUAUCUUGUUUACACCAUUAAAAACCAUAAACUAAAAUGGAUCUGCUACAGAUGUUACUAUUAAAGAAGGUGGUAUCCAUGAGGCUCUAUUUUGGAAUUAUUUCCUCCUCGAAUAUCUCUUAAAUAAAAAUCUCUUGUUAUAUCUCAUCAUAUUGUCAGGAUUCUUGAUAAAAAGAAGGAAAAAAAGAAGAAGAAAUGUUUCUGAGAACCUGGACCUGGAACUGAUUGGGUUCAACUAUCCUUUGGUACCCAUUGGGUCUUUGGACCUUGGUUUCCAGUGGGUCUGGUUCAGGUUCAUGUUAAACAAGGGCAUUUACAUGAUUGUGCCACUUGAAUGGAUUGAUUAGAUCACACACAUGUUUACCACAUAACGGCUUCACUACAAAUUGAAAAGCAAGGCGCUACCGGAUUGUCAUGAACUGUGGACCGGCGAGUAGUUCUCGGGAACAAAGAUUGCAAGGACUCUUCACCAACCCAAAUGUCCUCCCAAAAACUAAUAUUCUCCCCAUUCCCGAGGGCAAAGCCCAUUCCUUCAACAAAAUUUGACUUCAUAGAAAUAAUCUCUUUCCAAAUUGCCAAGGCUCUAGACAUGGAGGAUUCCCUAAUACACCAUGCCUCCCACUGAACCUUUUCCCUUUUUCAUUGUUUGGCUUGGAAUCCAUGGUUUCAGACAUACCUUAGUUCUUGGAGAAGUUCUAAACUAGAAAUCAAUAUCUCUUUUUCAUUUAUGGUUUGUUGUUUUAGGUGAGAUGGAUGGCGAGGAACACAGUGAAAUUGAAUCUGCAGCAGAGUUGUUUUGGUGAAGCCACUCACAGCUGGACUUCUGUUGGAAGCGAUCCAGACAACCAUUUCUAACUGAAAAAUGUGCCUAAAUAGUGAAGCACCACCAGUCAACAGUCCGGAGAUCGUAAAGAGUAGUAUCCAGAUGGCUUCCUGCACUUUUCUCCAAUGACAUAGUUGAAGGCUUCCUUCUACAAAUGUUCAGUCACUUGACAUAAAUGCACCGUAGUUCUGGAAAUGAGAAGGAUGGAAAAAUUGGUACCUUGGAAGACAAGCAGGUGAGCUGUGGUCUGGACUCUGUACUUUGUAUAAAAUGAUAGGAUGAAACCAAAAUCUUAUUUGGUGCUUUAUCUACAAUGUGAUAUAUUGCUUAUUCUGUUUGCUUACACCAGUUGAUGUUUAUGAAGAAAAUAUGAUCAUUCACUGUUUGAUACAUGUAUGGAUUCUAAUCAUGCAUUUGUAAAUGUGAAUGCAUGUACUAUGAUUUCUUCAUGGAUUCAAAGUGUGAAAACUUGCUAAAUGAAGAUGUCUGCUAAUUACAAAUUACAAUUUAAAAGUAUACAUAGAGAAUGAUUAAUGGCUGGACGAAUUUGUUUCCCAUUUGUAACUGUGUGGUAGCCUCAAUAUGUAUAUUUGUGUAUCCUUCUUAAUAAUUUU
This is a long non-coding RNA of Magnolia sinica, 1860 nucleotides long. RefSeq lists it as uncharacterized. The transcript has 5 exons. NCBI's taxonomy places the organism in Eukaryota, Viridiplantae, Streptophyta, Magnoliopsida, Magnoliales, Magnoliaceae. The record is from RefSeq and is a predicted model, not a curated record.